This is a long non-coding RNA of Hyposmocoma kahamanoa, 272 nucleotides long. RefSeq lists it as uncharacterized. The transcript has 3 exons. NCBI's taxonomy places the organism in Eukaryota, Metazoa, Arthropoda, Insecta, Lepidoptera, Cosmopterigidae. The record is from RefSeq and is a predicted model, not a curated record.
UAGCGCCUUCCAAGUGCGGACACUUUUUAGCGCGGACCCGACGUCCAUAUAAUUGCAAAGAGGCGAUGGCGGUAACGAGGCCGGCGACCAUGGAAGCACUGAAGUGUAACAGGAUGCCAUCCGAAAUGGACACAAGCAUCAUCUCGCGUGCCUAAAAUAAGAAAUCAAUUACAUCGACGAAGGAAGUCUACCGUCAGCUGUCAUUCUAAUAAGGACAACUUCUGUUGGAGUACCGAUAAAGGCACCAAUUCCACCCGACACUGUACCCAGCA